RNAcentral lists this long non-coding RNA (11739 nucleotides) under Nicotiana benthamiana. RNAcentral describes it as "long non-coding RNA (NBEN_LNC008361)". Lineage: Eukaryota; Viridiplantae; Streptophyta; Magnoliopsida; Solanales; Solanaceae. The record is from RNAcentral.
UCACCGUCCCAAACAACCUCAGCAGACCCGUCACCUUACUCAUUCUCCAACGCCGUCCAGCAGGCCAACAACCCUCAAAUGACCAGCAACCAUCAGUCACAACCUGCUGAAGGCCACCCGCAACAGUGAACUCGCUAUCUCUUCUUCUUCAAGCCCAAACGACCACUCCUUCUCCUCCCAUCUCAAUCGCCAGCCUCUCUUCGUCUCAAAACCUCCAGAAACAACCAGCUUGUGCAGCUAUGAAGCCACUCUAGAGGUUGUCGUUCAUGCUAUGACUUCCGUUCAAGAUUUCCAUUAGCGAUUUCGCAGUCUCCGGUCGAAGGUUUCCGGUUUGGUCGAGUUUUGUUUGCGGUUCUGGGUCCAACAUGUUAUUGCUUUCUUGGACGAAUUUUGGAGUAAAGAUAUGUUUAAUUGCUAACUUUCUUUGCUAUUGAGGUGCAAAGGGAACUGAAUUUGGCAGCUAGUUCAUUGGAUAUAAACUUCCAGUUGGUUUUUGUUUGGAUCGUCAGAUUCACCUAUUUUUACUGUUAGGUAAGUCUCUCAUUUCUCUAUAUUUUUGUUUCCUUUGUGCUGCUAAUCUGGUAUUGUGGUCCAAUAGAUAGAAAAAAUGGAUGUGUCAUGUAGAAUUAUUGAUCUUUCUAGGAUGAAAAUGAAUCCAUUCCUUGAAUAAGCAUAGGCACGUCUUCAUAUACUGAUGAUAUUGUGGUUCGAUAUAUAGAAAUAAGGGAUGUGUCAUGUAGAAUUAUUGAUCUUUGUAGGAUGAAAAUGAAUCCAUGCCUUGAAUAAGCAUAUGCACAUCUUCAUAUACUGAUGUACAUGUGUAUCAUGCAUAUUUUAGUCCCUUUUUCACGUUUUUAUAUAUAAAUAUAUGCAGUGACAUGUAAACUUGAAAUAUUUUCAGCUUAUUUUCUUAGCUCUCCUGGUAAUGUGGAUCAAUGUUCCUUGCUAAUAUUUGUUACUGUGUAAAUAUAUUUUGGCUAGUAUUUUGUAAAAAUAGAAUAUGCAAAUUGAUAAUGUCAAAGAAUAUAUUGAUUCCAUAUCAAUUUAUUCGAAAACACAUGGCCCUCACUUAAUUAGUUUUAACCAUAUAGAAGUCGGGACGUGCCAUUAGUUGGAUUUUUCAUGGCCCUCACAAAGUAAAAAAAAUAUUGUAGUUGCAUUAGGUAUGCCUUUGAAAUAAUAAAAUGAGACAAGCCUCGCCCGAUAAAUUGCAAGUUGCGGGGCCGUCUAUGCAUGUUUGUCAUGCAAGAUUGCUUAGACACCGGAACGGGCCAUUUAAACAAAAGUCCACGGCCUCGCCCAAAACAAUACUACGCUAGUCGCUUAGGGCGCGUCUUUAAUAAAGUUACUUCCCUAAAUACGGGCAUGCAUUUAUGCAACCCAAAUCUAAAAUCUCAACAAAGUCGGAAUGUGUCGACGACCACGCGUACACUGGUUGUGACGUGGUUUGAAGCAUGUUUUCACGACGUUGCAAUUAUUUUCCAAAAUGACAACAAUAAUAAUAAAAGCGGUACAAGAGCCUUGACUUGCACUAAGUACAUAAUUGUUAAAAUCAGAUAAAUAAGCCGAAUACGACAGUUGAGCGACCGUGCUAGAACCACGAAACUACGAAAUGCCUAACACCUUCUCCCGGGAACAGAAUUCCAUAUCGGGAUUUUUGGUUCGUGGACGGUAAUACAGAGUCAAUAUUUUCCUCGAUUCGGGAUUCAACCGGUGACUUGGGACACCAUAAAUCUCUCAAGUGGUGACUCUGAAUCUUUAAUAAUAAAUCCCGUUUUAAUUGUCCUUUAAUUGAAAAACUCCCCAAAAAAGGAGGUGUGACAGCUCUGGCGACUCUGCUGUGGACUCAAUGACCCAAAAUCACUGGUUCAGGGUUAGAAAUUUGAGCUUAGAAUAAAUUGUUGUGUUUGGUUUUAUUUAUUAUCUGAUAUUUUAUAUGAUCUAUGCUUAAUGUGCAAAAUUGUAUUUUUUGCCGCUUUGAUAUUAUUUGAAUUGUAUAUAUAAAUUAUGCCGAAACCCCUCUCUUCUCUCUCCUGUGGAGUGCACGCUGGUCGUGACUUCUUUCUAUUAGUGUCAUAAUCCCAAAAUAGAACGAGGAUUCGGUGGAGUUGCAAAACCGGAGGAUCUUUUGGUUACUGGUACGCAGUUCCCAUCCUCGGCUCGAGUUGUCUGCUCGGGUAAGCCAGGUCUAGAACAAAAACCCAAGUUUGAACCUAGUAUAACAAAACUUCAUGAAGGAUCCCUAGUAAGAACGCUUAUUUGCAUCAUGUGCAUUUGACUUAGGGGACUCAACACAGGGGUUGGGUUCGUCUAAAACUAGCAACCUGAAAUGAAAUGACCAUCUUGCUGCAUCCUGUUUGUUUUGCGCAUUUAUUUGUUUCAGACUUGCAUGCUGACCGGUUUUGAAUAUCGAAAAUAUUGUAAAAAUGAGAAAAAGAGAAAAAGAGAGAAAUAGUAGUGCAGAGAGUUAAUUAUUUAGUUUUAGAAUAACCAAUGCGUAACUACUCGUGAAACUCUGCCGAAAUUCUGAAAAUAAAAAAAAGGAAAAUAUUUUCUUUUUAAUAGUCUGUUCUACUAAAAGCAAAGGAAAAAUAGAAGAAAAAAAAGUCUUUCAUUUUUGGAAAAUUGUUUGCUGAAAAAUAAAAAUGAAAAAAGAGUCUUGUUUAUUAAAAUAGUUUUUUCAUUUUGUUUAUGAAACGCCAAAAAUAAAAAUAAAAAGAGUCGUGGUUUGAAAUGGUUUUGUUAUUUGCUGCCAAAAAAAAGAGUCUUGUUUUAAAAUAAUUCAGUUAAUUUGGCGAAUUACGCCGGUUUGAUUCUCACAGGGUGUCAAAUACUUAGGCGACCCUCAUCGAGUCCAACCUCCCAUUUUGCUAGAAUAGCCAAAAAAAUAUCAAUUUUUAUUGUCGUCAUAAAUGAGUUGGGCGAUGCCGUUUUUUUCAAAAAUAGCCGAAUGUUCCAGAAAGGGACGCCGGAAGGCUGACUUUGCAUAAAAGGCCACCUUUGGUCAUUGUUUUAGAUUUUUGGUUGACUGACCCACACAACCUUAAAAUCUUCGUCCCCGAGGCGUUGAAAGGCCGUGUUUGCAAAUAUCGGAUUUUUUAUUUUUAAUGUAGAAAAACAAAAAAGUAGUCAUAAAUAAGUCGGUGAGGUUGUUUUGUCAAAACAUAGCCGAAUGUUUCCGAAAGGAACGCCGGAAGGCUACCUUUGCAUUAACAUCCACCUUUUACCAUUGUUUUAGGAUUUUGGCUGGUUAGCUAAUGCAGCCUUAAAAUCUUCGUCCCCGGGGUGCUAAAGGCCGUGUUUGCAAAACCUGGUCUUUUAUUUUAAUUUGAAAAAAAAGAGUUAGUGGGCAAGUAGAUGCCGUUUGGAUUUUUGGUUGAAAUAAGCCGAGCCAGCUUCGACACUGUAUUAAACCGUUCUUGACGAGAUAGCCCUAGAGUAUCCUUCAGUAGUCGAAAGGCUACUUUCGUAAAAGAACGGACAUAUUUGUGAAAUAAUCAUUCUCGGCCUCUAAAUUCAUGUGAAAUUGAGAAGGGGCCACAUUUGUAAAAAAUAGCCAUUUGGUUAAAAGUGGCAAAUAGGGAAAUGAAUCUGUCUGUUUGUCUUUGAUAUUGUAAUUCUUUUGAUAAAAUAUGCGAGUUGUUUGAUUUUCGAGUCCAUAUGUUGUAUUUUCGUCAAAUUUUGAUAGUUUGUUCAACUUUUAGACCAUUGUAAUUAAAGUUGAUUUUUAUUAUGAAAGUUAAAAAAUUCCAAAAAAAUGUUUUAUUGUUAUUUCCUUGUAUCUGCCCGAACUAUGCACGGUCUGAUUCAUGCGGGGUCAUGAUACGUAGGCAAUCUACAUAAGAUUCGACCAAAAAAAAUAAAAAAUAAAAAAAAACGAAAAAAAAUCUUAAAAAAGAAAGAAGAAAGAAAAAAAAAGUUAUUAAUAAUGAGGACCGACUGAGUCCAUUCUAACCUGUUUUAUUUUGAAUCGCAAAGAAAGUUAAGGUGGUUGGUUCGUGGUAAGCCGGAACACAAGAUCCAGGAAAACCUGACUGUAAUCCAAGACAAUGACAAUUAGAAUAUCACGCAGAAUCCUUUACCUGCAUAUCAUGAUGCACACUCUAUGGGGAUAAGGCCUGAUAACAGGGAGCACUCGAAUCCUAUUGGGAACUUGUUGACUGAGGUUGAUGAUAUUGAAGUUGGUAAUGGUCUUGGCAAUAUUGAUGCGAAGCUCAGUGGCUAAGACACCAUGUUUGAUAAUUGGGAGGACGCUCCGUUCCUUGGUUAGCAGGAGAGAAGCUUUGAUGUCUUAUUUUGUUUUUAUUUCUGUUGUCCGGAUUAUUCUUAGGGUUGUAAUCAAGAUAUUAUCGUAUGUCAAACCUUCUUAUCUUUCCAUUUCUUUCAUAGUUGUUUGGUUAGUUUUGUCCAGGUUUGUUUUGGGAUUGUAUUUUUGUUAUUUUUUGUUUGUUUUGUUAUUCAAACCAUUUCAAUGUUAGUCUAAUGCAAAACCGGAUUAUUCUUAGGGUUGUAAUCCGGAUACUGUCUUGUGUCAAACUUUUUAUUUUUCCAUUUUUAUCAUAGCGGUUUGUUUAAUUUUGUCAAGGUUUAUUUCGUGAUCGUUCUAGUUUGUUUUUGUUUGUUUUGUUAUUCAAACCAUUUCACCGUUAGUCUAAUGCAAAAUUCGGUCUUUUAUUAUUUCCAGUCAUCUUUCCGUUUAGUUCUUUUUUCAUUUUGUUGUGUCUUUUAUUCAGCGCCAAUUCUAGUGACAUGACAUGCACGAACAGUUUGGGCCUAGUCUUAAAAGUUAAUCAUAAAACAAGUGAAAAGUGAUCGGGAUAUUUAAAGGAGAUAAGAGCGGUUUGAGAUCAUUUGAAGCCCAAACCAUGAGAAACUGGGCAAGUAAAUGAGAGUAUUGCCCAACGAUGUUAUAUGUGUAUAUGAUUAUCUGGUGCAAUCAAAAGAUGUUACCAAUGUUUUCGAUAGAUUGUUUAAUUAUGUUGUUUGUACUUGGCGUGUUUUGGAGAUUGGAAUAACGAAUGCAUUUUGUUCUACUAUCAAAACACUUUAUCCUUCGUUAGCCCUUUGAGCCGUAUUUAUUUUUCUUUCAUACCCCUCUUUCGGAAUCAAUAGCAAAGGGUAGAAACACAAACAUAAAAAAAUAUGAAAAAGAGAAAGAAAAAGAGAAAACAACAAAAAGAGAAAACAAAAAGCAAAAGAGAAACGAGAAAAGGAAAAGGAAAAGAAAAAGAAAAGAAAGAUAAGAAAAAUAAUAAGCGAAAAGGAAAACUAGAAAAAACAAAUAGGAAUUGUGAACUAAAUUCGACCUGAUUCCUCAAGGAGGAUACGUAGGCGCCUCACGGCUCGGUCAUAGUGCAAAUAAAAAUAAAAAAUCCCCAAGAAAGAAACUGGGGCAAAAAUUAUGUUUAUUGUAAAAUAAUCUAGUUCCGAACAUUGUAAUUUUAAACUAAAUUGAUGUAUUUUUUUAGCCUUUAAAUACCCUUGCUUUCUAGCCUAUCCAAAUCCCACAUUACGGUAAAAAAAAAGACCUUCUAAUCAGUCUUCAAAAGAUGCCAAGUCAGACAAAUGAGGGAGUAUUAUCAGAACAUAACACUCUUAUCUCCAGUAGAAAAGAUUCUGAUCUCCAUACUGAGAAGACUCUGUUCCCCAAUAGAAAAGACUUCGCCCCCCNNNNNNNNNNNNNNNCCCCUUGCAUAAAAGAAAUAGAAAAGAGAGUCUUAUUGGUAACACCCCGAUCCCCAGUUGGAAAGUAAUACAUAUGAGAGAGUCUUAUCUCUGAAAACCUUCACGGGCACCAUAAGGCGAUGAAAGCUGAGAGAAAAGCCAAAAUGAGAGAGGCUUGACAGUGAAACCUUCGUGCACUACAAGUCGAAUAAGGGUGAGAAUCAGAUGGGGAAUCACCAAAUGAAGAUCUUGGAAGACGAUUGACAACGGAGGAUAGGCCACAUGUGCAUGUCAUGACCAUUAGAGUCGGUAUCCGCGUUUGAAAGGUUUUGAUUUUAUAGUUUCUCUUGUUAGAGUGUCAUAUCUUUCCUUUGUCGUUUAUUCUGUUCCUUUUUAUCUUUAUCUUUUCAUAAAAAAUUCCUCAAUAGAGUCUGUUUGGUUAGAACAAGUGAGAAAUGACUUCGAAAUCUGCCAUCAGCUUUCCAAUUAUGCAAGACGAGAUCUGACUAGUACGUCCAAGUGGUAUAAUUCAGGAAUGAACAAACACAAGGCCAGUAUUAAAAAGGAUAUCCCCAGCAAGAGGAGAUUGACAAAGGGAUGGAUCAGUGUCAAGAAAGAUAUCCUGCGGGAAUCAAAGGUUAUAGGCCUCAAGGCCAAGGCCAUCAUGAGAUUGACAAAGGGAUGGAUCAGUGUCAGGAAAGAUAUCCUGCGGGAAUCAAAGGUUAUAGGCCUCAAGGCCAAGGCCAGUGGACAAAUCAAGUUAGAACGACGCUGAAAGCGAUGGGCAUGAAUUGGAGAUUCAUAUGAGACUCCAAGGUCGGGGGAAAUGCUAGUUCCCUAGUUAUGAUACAAAAGAAGAGGGAUAUCCCUAGCAGAAAAGGUAUUUCAGUGACAUCGGAUAAACGAAGAAAGUGGUUCAUCAGUAAAACAUGCAAAAUCCUCAAGCAGAGUCACUGUCAUAGGAAUGUGGGUGGUCAGGAUACAAGUGGAAAACAACGGUGAAAGGCUUGUGAAUAAGGAGUCAUCAAGAAGGUCGGAAAUUAUCGACCAAGUUUCAAGAUGGCCAGAUGAUGCAAGGCAAGGCAAGUCAUGCUAAGGCCAGCAAAUAACAUCCUCCCCAGCAAGUUUUGAUAGUGUAAUGGAAUGCUGAGCAGGGAAGGAGAAAGGGAAAAACCAUCCCCAGCAAGAGCGACACAACCACUCACGAGUUUAAAACUAAUAAAUUUUCUUUGAUUGGAAGUAGGUAAAAGAAAAUAACAUUGAUGGCGAAAAGGCAUGACACGAGGAAGAUUAUCAAAUUAUGGCUGAAAAUUUUCCUUUCAUUUGGAAAAUUUUUUGAAAAAAUUAGGUAUCCACUUGGGGAAAAAGGAAAAUAAGACAAAUCUCAAGAGAAGAGGUCUUUGAAACAGUGUUAUCCCCAGAAUAACAAGUUUUAAUGAGGGAAGUUGUAUCCCCAGCAGCCCGAACAAAAGGAUAAAACUUGUGUUCAGAAAAAGUAAAAGGCCAGUGCCAUCCCCGGUAGCUUCUAGAAGAAUGAACCACUGAUUUUGAAGGAAUAAAAUUCCCCCCAGCAGCGUUAUCCUCAACAACGUUAUCCUCAAAUGAUAGCACUUUUAUCCCAGCAGUGUUGAGAGAAAGUAAUUUUGGAAAAAAAAGGAGAGAAAAGAGGGGACGAAAGGAGAUUCCCUAGAGGUAUUAUCCCCAACAGGAAAGUAAGUAAUUCCCCAGCAAUGUUAUCCCAGUAGUCUCGAGGGAAGACAACAUUGGCUUUUAAAGGAGGAAGCCAUCCCCAGCAAGGCCACAAAUCGGCCACCAUUUUUAAAGCUGAUAAAAUUUUCUUUGUUUGAGAGUUGAAACAGGAAUAAAGCAAUUCAAGGAAAAAAGAAAAGAAAAGAAGAAAUAACAAAGGUAAGUUUCUCAAAUCUUUGAUCUUUAAAUUUUUCUCCUAGAAUAAAAAGUCCUAGUAUGAUGGAUUUCCCUCCUAAUACAAUCUUGGUCCGAUGGAUUUUUUCUCCCAAGAUAAGAUAAAAUGUUGGUCUGAUGGAAUUUUUCUCCCAAGGUAAGAUAUAAAAAUCUUGGUCCGAUGGAAUUUUUCUCCCAAGAUAAGAUAAAAUCUUGGUCCAUUGGACUUUUUCUCCCAAGAUAAGAUAUAACAAUUUUAGUCCGAUGAAAUUUUCUCCUAAGAUAUCAAAUCUUAGUCCGAUGAAUCUUUCUCCUAGGAUCACAACAAAAUGGACCUAGUCUGAUGAAUCCUAGAGUCAAAAUCUUGGUCCGAUGAAAUUUUUCUCCUAAGAUAAGAUAAAAUCUUGGUCCGAUGGAAUUUUUCUCCCAAGAUAAUAUAUCAAUCUUUGUUAGAUGAAUUUUCUUCUAAGAUAUAACAAUUCGUAGUCUGAUGAAUUUUCUCAUACGAUAAUUUAAAAAGAAAGGAAGCCAUAAUUUGAAAAGAAGGGAAAGCAGAAUUUGAGAAAAAGAAAAAGAAAACGAAAGGAAGUCUGAAUUUGAAAAACAAAGUCUAAAUUUGAAAAACAAAAAAGAAAAGAAAAAAAAGUGUGAAUUUGCAAAAAAUUAAGAAAGUAUGGAUUCGAAAAAUGGACCUAGUCUGAGGGAUUAUCUCCUAAAGUCAAAAUCUUGGUCCGAUGGAAUGUUUCUCCUAUGAUAAUAUAACAAUCUUAGUCAGAUGAUUUUUUUUUCUCCUAAGAUGAAAAAUCUUAGUCUAAUGAAUUUUUCACCUAAGAUAAUAUAAAAAUCUUAGUCUGUUGAAACUUUCACCUAAAAUAAAAAAUCUUAGUCUGAUGAAUUUUUCACCUACGAUAAAAUAAAAAUAUUAGUCUGUUGAAACUUUCACCUAAGAUAAAAAAUCUUAGUCUGAUGAAUUUUUCACCUAAGAUAAAAUAAAAAUCUCUGAUGAAACUUUCUCCUACGAUGAAAUCUUAGUCUGAUGAAUUUUUCACCUAAAAUAAAAAAAACCAUCUCCAACAGGAGUAUCACAACUUAUCAUCGCAUUUUUAACUGACAAAAUUGUCUUUUUAAAGUUUUAUUUGAAGUUUUACCCAUAGGAGACGCACUUCCUAGUUUUAGUCACUAAAGUUUUGCAUUUCCUAGUUUUAGUCAUUGAAGUUUUCACCCCUAGGAGACGCACUUCCUAGUUUUAGUCAUUGAAGUUUUCACCCCGAGGAGACACACUUCCUAGUCUUGGUCAUUUAAAUUUAUCAUUAGGAGACGCACUUCAUAGGUUUGGUUCAUUCAGGUAUUAUGUUAGCAGACGCACCUGCUAGUCAGAGUUGGUUUUACUCAUAGGAGACACACAUCCUAGUCUAAUCUUUAGUUUACACUCAUCAUUGCAUCAGUAGUAUAAGUGGUUUACAAUUUUGCUAACUACUCACAAAUCUUCAUAGCGCAAAUUGGGUAGGAAAGUUCGUUUGUUUUGGUUGUUUUGAUUGUUUUGAUUGUAGGAUCCCGCAUGGAGAGCGGAGGGUUAUAAAAAAAAUCUCCAACAUUCAAUACAAGUUAGAAGUAGCAGAAGCUCGCGACAAGAAUGCGAGUCAACAGACUAGAUGAUCAACAAAAGUCAGUCACAAUAAAGAAAAAGAAAAAAGAGAAAUGAAUAAAAAAAAGUUAAUUCAAAAGUGCAGAAUUGGAGAAGAUGUAGUCUGCUCAAGACAUGGUUGAAGUCACAAGCUUUUCAUAUCCCGUCUUGAUUUUGAAGAAGUUAAAGAAGAUUGAACUAGCACCUACAACUAACAAGUGUCAAGUUUCAAAUCUAAAGUCCGCAUGAAUCACCAUUCAAAACUCAAGAUCAAGCUUUAGAAGACUUAUAGAUAGGAACCUUUGUAACUAGUAGCUGAUAGACUUAGUUAGUCUUUUUCAUGUUUGAUUUUUGAUGUAAUAGCAGGACCGUAGUCCGGAACCUCGAUCGACUCUCCACCUCGGUAUACUCAAUCAUCUCACUCACUUCUAAAUUACACGUGACCUGAUUUCUUUAUAGCCAAGAAUAUGUAGGCAACUCAGAUACCAGGGCUCAGUCACAUUCUCUCCCUCUCCUUUAGUUUAGUCUCUCCAAAUAAGGGUCGGGCCUAAAAACAUACAUAGUCUUUCUUUGUCUGAAAACUCUUCAUAUUUCCAGUGAAAGAGGGGCAGCUGUAGAUAUGUGAUUUUUGACCCUCCCAGAGAUUUUUUAUAUUUUUAGCGAAAAAUAUUUAAUUUAGGCUUAAUAUAGAUAUUUCAGCUAAUUUUUGGCUCGUUUACUUUGUUUCGUUACAAAAAGAAAAAUUACAAAAAAGUGGUAUAUAAAAUUUAGUUUAUGUAUUUCUCAAAAACUUAAAAAAUACAAAAAUAGCACCUUGUUUUUAAUUUUUACAUAAUUCAGAAAAUACAAAAAAAAUAGUUUCAUUAAUGCUUUAUAGUUAUUUUAAACUUAAAAAUACAAAAAAUAGUACUUUAUAUUUUACCUUUAUAUAAAAACGAAAAUUGCAAAAAAAAAAUAAUUUUAUUUUUGUAGUUAUUUUAAAUCUUCAAAAAUAUCAAAAGUAGUUUUGUUUUAAUUGUUAGUCUUAUUUUGAUAGUUAUUUUGCUUACAUAGAAUUAAUUAAAUAAGAUCGUAUUUUACUCGCGAUUCGGGGCAAAGAAUAAUAUUUGGGUUCAAACUACCCAUUUGUAGGACUAAUUUUUGGACAUAGCCCAUAACAAUCCAAACCCACCACAUAUUACACAUAACACGAGACCGCGGGAGACACGAUUACACAGUUGGGGGAGGGAUUCACGAUGGUCAAAAUCUGUUUUAAAAAAAGGGAACUACAAUAAUGACGAACAUGGGGACUAAACGCUAUUUUUUUUUGCACGCCUUAAAUUUUAAAAAGAGGCAGCUGGAUACUAAGAAAAGGGGACUUAGUCAAAUGAAAAAGAAAAAAAGGUGAGGGAUUUUUGAAUAAAAUAGACCAUACACAUUGAGGAGGGGGGGNNNNNNNNNNNNNNNNNNNNNNNNNNNNNNNNNNNNNNNNNNNNNNNNNNNNNNNNNNNNNNNNNNNNNNNNNNNNNNNNNNGGGGGGGGGGGGGGGGGGGGGAGGACUAUUCUUCUUCGUCUUUUUCAUAACCAACAAGAAUCUCACCCUUGAAUGAACUCCUCCAGUUACCGUCCCAAACAACCUCAGCUGACCCGUCACCUUCCUCAUUCUCCAACGCUGUCCAGCAACCGAACAACCCUCAAACGACCAGCAACCAUCAGUCACAACCAGCUGAAGGCCAUCCGCAACAGUGAGCUCGUUAUCUCUUCUUCUUCAAGCCCAAACGACAACUCCUUCUCCUCCAAUCUCCAUCGCCAGCCUCUCCUCAUCUCAAAACCUCCAGAAACGACCAGCCUGUGCAACCAUGAAACCACUCUUAAGGUUGCCGUUCAUGUUAUGAGUUCCGUUCGAGGUUUCCGUUAGCGAUUUCGCAGUCUCCGGUCGAAGGUUUCCGGUUUGGUCGAGUUUUAUUUGCGGUUCUGGGUUCAACUUGUUAUUGCUUUCUUGGACGGAUUUUGGAGUCAAGAUAUGUGUAAUUGCUGACUUUCUUUGUUAUUGAGGCACAAAGGGGAUUGAAUUUGACUGCUAGUUUAUUGGAUAUCAACUUCCGUUUGGUUUUUGUUUGGAUCGUCAGAUUCACCUAUUUUUACUGUUAGGUAAGUCUCUCAUUUCUCUAUAUUUUUGUUUCCUUUGUGCUGCUAAUAUGAUAUUGUGGUUCGAUAUAUAGAAAUAAGGGAUGUGUCAUGUAGAAUUAUUGAUCUUUGUAGGAUGAAAAUGAAUCCAUGCCUUGAAUAAGCAUAUGCACAUCUUCAUAUCUGGUAUUGUGGUCCGACAGAUAGAAACAAUGGAUGUGUCAUGUAGAAUUAUUGAUCUUUCUAUGAUGAAAAUGAAUUCAUGCCUUGAAUAAGCAUAGACACGUCCUCAUAUACUGAUGUACAUGUGUAUCAUGCAUAUUUUAGUCCCAUUUCCACGUUUUUAUAUAAAUAUAUGCAGUGGCAUGUAAACUUUGAAAUAUUUUCAGCUUAUUUUCUUAGCUCUCCUAGUAAUGUGGAUCAAUGUUCCUUGCUAAUAUUUG